This 457-nucleotide ribosomal RNA is filed under the name uncultured bacterium. RNAcentral's name for it is "partial 16S ribosomal RNA". It matches the Rfam family "Bacterial small subunit ribosomal RNA", at positions 338 to 795 of the family's 1533-position model. The record is from RNAcentral.
CCUACGGGAGGCAGCAGUGGGGAAUAUUGCACAAUGGGGGAAACCCUGAUGCAGCGACGCCGCGUGAGUGAAGAAGUAUUUCGGUACGUAAAGCUCUAUCAGCAGGGAAGAAAAAAAGUCCUUUGGACUUUGGACGGUACCUGACUAAGAAGCCCCGGCUAACUACGUGCCAGCAGCCGCGGUAAUACGUAGGGGGCAAGCGUUAUCCGGAUUUACGGGGUGUAAAGGGAGCGUAGACGGCAGCGCAAGUCUGGAGUGAAAUGCCGGGGCCCAACCCCGGAACGGCUUUGGAAACUGUGCAGCUGGAGUGCAGGAGAGGUAAGCGGAAUUCCUAGUGUAGCGGUGAAAUGCGUAGAUAUUAGGAGGAACACCAGUGGCGAAGGCGGCCUGCUGGGCUUUUACUGACGCUGAGGCUCGAAAGUGUGGGGAGCAAACAGGAUUAGAUACCCCAGUAGUC